Molecule: ribosomal RNA, 827 nt
Filed under: Microbacterium foliorum
Lineage: Bacteria; Bacillati; Actinomycetota; Actinomycetes; Micrococcales; Microbacteriaceae
Description: bacterial SSU rRNA
Rfam family: Bacterial small subunit ribosomal RNA
Source: RNAcentral
UCGAACGGUGAACACGGAGCUUGCUCUGUGGGAUCAGUGGCGAACGGGUGAGUAACACGUGAGCAACCUGCCCCUGACUCUGGGAUAAGCGCUGGAAACGGCGUCUAAUACUGGAUACGAGUAGCGACCGCAUGGUCAGUUACUGGAAAGAUUUAUUGGUUGGGGAUGGGCUCGCGGCCUAUCAGCUUGUUGGUGAGGUAAUGGCUCACCAAGGCGUCGACGGGUAGCCGGCCUGAGAGGGUGACCGGCCACACUGGGACUGAGACACGGCCCAGACUCCUACGGGAGGCAGCAGUGGGGAAUAUUGCACAAUGGGCGGAAGCCUGAUGCAGCAACGCCGCGUGAGGGAUGACGGCCUUCGGGUUGUAAACCUCUUUUAGCAGGGAAGAAGCGAAAGUGACGGUACCUGCAGAAAAAGCACCGGCUAACUACGUGCCAGCAGCCGCGGUAAUACGUAGGGUGCAAGCGUUAUCCGGAAUUAUUGGGCGUAAAGAGCUCGUAGGCGGUUUGUCGCGUCUGCUGUGAAAUCCGGAGGCUCAACCUCCGGCCUGCAGUGGGUACGGGCAGACUAGAGUGCGGUAGGGGAGAUUUGGAAAUUCCUGGUGUAGCGGUGGAAUGCGCAAUAUAUCAGGAGGAACACCGAUGGCGAAAGGCAGAUCUCCUGGGCUCGUUACUGACGCUGAAGGAGCGAAAGGGUGGGGAGCAAACAGGCUUAAACACCCUGGAAGUCCACCCCGUAAACGUUGGGAACUAGUUGUGGGGGCCAUUCCCCCGGAUUCCGUGAAGCAGCUAACGCUUAAGUUCCCCCCCUGGGGAAUACGGCCCGC